GACGCCGUGACGGGGAGGAGAACGGCAGAAGUGGAUGCAGACGAACGAGGAGGAAUCAGGACGAGCGAGCAAUGGCAGGACUGACGAAAAACAUUGCUGCGAAGACGUCCCCUCUAGACGACGGUAUAUCAUCCUGUGACGACCACAUUGAAGUCUGAAUUUGAAGUGUGAAGAUGCUUCAGCAACCACAUCGUACUAAUCCAUUGCUUUCAUUGUGCUUCUACUGUGCAUGUGUGUAAGUUGUGGGGUAUACUUGUGAUGACAUUGUGUGCUGGCGACACGGUCAGAUUUUGUCCAUGCGUGUAACGUACACCUGCAUGUUAUGCAUUGAAAAGGAUCUGCCACUUAUGAUCCUGGGACGAGUAUCAGGUCAGCUUUGUCUUGUGUGGGCUGUACCAGAUUGCUGUUCACUUCUCUAUCUGUUGGAUAUGUGACUUUCUGCAAGUUUCUGGUGUAUGGUGGCCACUUCCUUGCUUGUCA
This is a long non-coding RNA of Sycon ciliatum, 480 nucleotides long. RefSeq lists it as uncharacterized. NCBI's taxonomy places the organism in Eukaryota, Metazoa, Porifera, Calcarea, Leucosolenida, Sycettidae. The transcript is spliced from 3 exons. The record is from RefSeq and is a predicted model, not a curated record.